AGGAUUUGGCCAAAUGCCGAAAGAAGAAAAGAAGAAAAAUAAUUUAUAAGUUAAAAUAAAUUAAGAAUGAAUACUAAAUAAAAUUUAAAAGAAUAAUUAAAGAAGAAAUAAAAAUAAAAAUAUUUGUGGGUUGUCUCCCACGAAGCGCUUUGUUUAAUGUCGCAAGCUCGACAUAAAAACUAUCAAAUAUAAUCUAUAAAUUCUGGAGGCAUUACGUCUAAGUGCAGGACUUGCGAAUCUUC
RNAcentral lists this long non-coding RNA (242 nucleotides) under Lathyrus oleraceus (garden pea). Its description in RNAcentral is "Pisum sativum (pea) long non-coding RNA (PSAT_LNC007803)". The record is from RNAcentral. Lineage: Eukaryota; Viridiplantae; Streptophyta; Magnoliopsida; Fabales; Fabaceae.